GGGGGAGAUGAUACAAGAAAACUUUGUCUCUACUGCCAAAGGGGUGUUGCAGACACUGAUUGAGAAGCAGUUCCCUGCGCCGGGAAGGAAGAGAGUUGCUGAUAUCUUAGGAUUAGAUAACGAUAGUGAUGCCAGUGAUAGGCGCUCUGAGCGCUCUUCCCCUGCACCCCCAC
This is a long non-coding RNA of Nematostella vectensis (starlet sea anemone), 173 nucleotides long. RefSeq lists it as uncharacterized. NCBI's taxonomy places the organism in Eukaryota, Metazoa, Cnidaria, Anthozoa, Actiniaria, Edwardsiidae. The record is from RefSeq and is a predicted model, not a curated record. The transcript has 2 exons.